RNAcentral lists this transfer RNA (83 nucleotides) under Mycobacterium sp. RNAcentral describes it as "tRNA-Tyr". It matches the Rfam family "tRNA". Rfam says of the family: Transfer RNA (tRNA) molecules are approximately 80 nucleotides in length. Their secondary structure includes four short double-helical elements and three loops (D, anti-codon, and T loops). The record is from RNAcentral. RNAcentral also lists the same sequence under 5 other names. Lineage: Bacteria; Bacillati; Actinomycetota; Actinomycetes; Mycobacteriales; Mycobacteriaceae.
GGCGGGUUGCCCGAGCGGCCAAUGGGAGCGGACUGUAAAUCCGUCGGCUUACGCCUACACAGGUUCGAAUCCUGUACCCGCCA